RNAcentral lists this transfer RNA (87 nucleotides) under Oscillibacter sp. RNAcentral's name for it is "tRNA-Leu". It matches the Rfam family "tRNA". From Rfam's summary of the family: Transfer RNA (tRNA) molecules are approximately 80 nucleotides in length. Their secondary structure includes four short double-helical elements and three loops (D, anti-codon, and T loops). The record is from RNAcentral. Lineage: Bacteria; Bacillati; Bacillota; Clostridia; Eubacteriales; Oscillospiraceae.
GCCGGUGUGGUGGAAUUGGUAGACACAAGGGACUUAAAAUCCCUCGGUAGUGAUACCGUGCCGGUUCGAGCCCGGCCACCGGCACCA